CAAAGAAGCACUUACCAACCUAAUCAAGCUGUGGGGGGAAGAGAAGAGAGAGACAAUUGGUGGGAUGUUGCCCUUGAGCAGUGUCCUUGAAGAAUGGAAGAGCAGCAGCAGGAAGGAGAGCUCCUGCUUGUUGCCCUCUGAAUUGAGGCUCACCAUCAACCUGAAGGGAUGUCUGUUGUGCCUCACGUAGUUCACAGUGUGCAUUCAGUAUCAGACUACAACCAGGUUACCAUAACUGAAAUAGGUGUAGCAACACAUGAAUGUCUUCCCUCUGAGAAAUGCACUGUACCAUUUUAUCAUCUGGUGCAAUAAGAUGCCAUCAUACAGUGAGAUCAUCCUUCUGAUCCUGUCCAGAUUUUUCAGAUUCAGUGGCUAGUCUAUGGUGUUGGAAAUUCAGAUACCCAGUGGCCUUGUUGAGAAGAGGGAGGUAAUUCUGAUUGUGUAACUGAUGGUAUCAUGUGCUUAUUUUAUAUAUAUAGUACCCAUACAUCUGGGCAUCUGAUAACUCCAACAUUUCCAUUUAGAACUUACCACUUCCGCUGUACACAGACAUAGCAGGCAAUGCACUUUGUACAAAUUUGGAAUUUAAGGUCUCAGGUUACUGUCAGAUGAUUUGUAAUUAUUUCGUUCCUUCCGCUGAAAGACGCCUGUGAAGUAGUUCAUGGUAAUUUUUACUGAAGCAUUUAAAGAUUUCUCAUCCUGUUUAUUAUGCAUGGUUAAAACCAAUGAACCUACAACAAGGCCUUUUAACUUGGAUGUCUGUUUUCUUUUCUUUUGUGAAAAUCAAUCCUAAAUGUCCUACACGGGUUUUGUGUUUUGUAACAUUUUGCACUACCUUAUUUUUUAUUCAGCUUCACUGAUACGAGUAAUUCCCUGAAUUAAACUGAGACGCUAGGUUUAUGUGGAAUAAACAUAGCUUUAGAAUAGGAAAGGAAGAAUAA
RNAcentral lists this long non-coding RNA (941 nucleotides) under Anser brachyrhynchus (Pink-footed goose). RNAcentral describes it as "lncRNA (ENSABRG00000007511.1)". Lineage: Eukaryota; Metazoa; Chordata; Aves; Anseriformes; Anatidae. The record is from RNAcentral.